Molecule: long non-coding RNA, 298 nt
Filed under: Mytilus galloprovincialis (Mediterranean mussel)
Lineage: Eukaryota; Metazoa; Mollusca; Bivalvia; Mytilida; Mytilidae
Source: RNAcentral
CAUUCAAUAAGGGAGCUACCAUUUGAUUUUUAUGGGGGGGCUAGGAUGAAAAAUUUUGUCCUGCUUUUUUUUUUAGUUGUAAUCUCUGUCCUGCCUUUUUAUUUUUUACUCUAUUCGGUCCUGCCUUUUUUUUUACUAGUUAUCCUGACUUUUUUUACACAAAUUGUCAUCCUGCCUUUUUUUUUUUACCAAGUUGCUCAUCCUGCCUUUUUUUUUUACUCAAAACUCCUGUCCUGCCUAUUUUUUUCAAAUUUCAUCCUAGCCCCCCCAUAAAAAUCAAAUGGUAGCUCCCUAACCU